CUCACCCCUGGUCUCACCUUCUCCAGGCUCCUGGCGUGGCUCGCCCCCACCUUCUCCCCGCUCCCCACCUUCUCCAUGCUCCCGGCGCCGCCCCCCCACCCCACCUCCUCCCGGAUCCCGCCGUCGCCCCGCCCCCACCUCCUCCCGGAUCCCGCCGCCGCCCCACCCCCACCUUCUCCCUGUCUCCAGCGCCGCCCCUCCCCCACCUCCUCCUGGAUCCCAGCGCUGCCCCCGCCCCCACCUCCUCCCUCGCUCCCGGCGCCCCCCUGCUUCCACGCGCCACCGCCGCCCCCCUGCUUCCACGCGCCGCCGGCGGCCCCGCUGCUUCUAGCCGCCACUGUCGGGAGCCACCAUAGUGCCACCAAUCGCCAUGACCAGUCGUCCCUGCCGCCGCCUUGGCGACCUACCCCCACUCCCUGCAGGGGGCCGUCGCUUCGUGUCACCGCAUCCGGUGGCCACAGCAUGCCGUCCAACUCGGCAGUCCAACUGCUUGCUCCACGGUCGGUCGCUCAAGUAGAUGCGUGCAAGCAAACAUCUCCACGGGCGACAAGUUCUUCUUUCACAUCCUGUUGCUGCUGCUGCACCUUCUCCUUCGACCAGGCUAAGUAAAUUGUUCAGGUACCUUGUGUGUAUAUUAUGCACCUUAGUGUUCAGUAGAAAUUUCAUCGUGUUGGUGAGCUCACAUACUACUAUUCAAUCAGUUAGAAAACGUAAACUUGGGAAGUUUGAAAAAAGAAAACAUUCAAGGGGAGUUUGUUGGAGAUAACAAGUCGAAGUUCAGGUGUCAAAUGUGAAAAAAGAAUUUCUUCUAAUCUAGCAUGCUCCCUCCAACAUAUUUUCAUUUCUACUGUAGCUUACUAUAAAGAUGAAACUAUAUAAGUACACCGUGCAAAAAUUCAGUGGUUCAAAUGUGAAAAAAGAAUUCUUCUAAUCUAGUUCCCACCGUGCAUUUUGUGUGUGUAGAAUUUCAUCUAAUCUAGUUCGAAUUUCAUCUAACAUCCGGCGACGCACCGCGCCCUCGCCUCCCACCUCCGCGACGGACCAUGGAUCUGCCUCCACAGGGGCGGCCGCCGGUGGGAAGGCGUAGCAUCAGCAACAACCACCUCCGCCCCUUCCUGCUCCUCCCCCCGCGCGACGACCACCUCUGUCGCCUCGGGAUCCCAGCUGCAUGCAUUUAGGAGCAAGAGAAAAGAGAGGUUAAUUGUCCGUCCACACUACCGCUCCUCCCAAGUCCACACUAGUUUUAUCACAAAAAGGAGAGGAUGUCUAUUUUAUUUCCUGAAACACAAACUAGGUGUUCUUAGUUCAGUACGUGAGCUAUCUCAAGUUCUUGGAAAACAUAUAAAACAGUACGGUGUUUGUGCAAAAAAUCCAGACUGUUUUCUAAUUAUACAACAGUUUACUAUAUGGUAGAAUUGUAGUUGUUCAGUAAAAAGGUUCACUACCCCAACUGGGGGAUCUUCUAUCCGUUUUGUCUUUCUUUUCCAACUGAAAGUAGUAGCAAAAUGUGAAUUGAAGCUGUUGUGGAGCAAAUUAAGAAUAGUUGCCUACUUUUUUGCCACUGCUACCUUGCCACCUACAUUAAUGCUACUACUAUUACUACUUAUCAUGUUGCUAAACCUUGUGUUUUGGACAAUUUGUGGGAAAGUGUGGAGGCGCAAGUUGCUCCGCAACUGAGGAAGGCGCACCCCGGUGCUUGUCAUGGCUAAAGACGGCCUCCAACCAUGGGGCCCAAAGCAGCCAGCCUUUGUUCACAUGCGCGUCUCCUUCCUGCUUCACCUAGCAGCCCUACUUCUCCAUGACGUCACCAUGUGUGCACGCUCCAACCUGUCCCCUAUCGCAGCCCCACCACUUGUUGCUGAUGCACUCCAACCCGAGGACCUCCAUGAUGGAGGUCGCCUCGUAGCCUAGUGACAAGGUAACUCAUCUUCCUUGUGCGUCCUUCACCCACUGUGCGCCCUACUGCCCUCGACCUCCUUCCUCACAUGCAUGCUACCCCAACUUUUGUUUUGAUUUUCAGUUCAACUUGUGUGUUCUUUUCAGUGCAUUAUGCUUUAAAUGUGCAGAGUCCUGAGGCAAAAUGAUACAUUUUAGUUUGCUUUGUCGCAAGGGCAUUGCUGAAACUUAACUUCUGUCUAAACCUAUAACCAUCCAUUUCGAAAAUAGAUGCUUUCGAAAAUGGAUGCUAGUUUACUUUGCAUAGAGCUUGCAGCUUAUGUUUGUCUAGUUUGAACUUAAGCUGGUCUCCCUUUCGUACUUCAAUUUUUCAGUAUUGGUCUAGUCAGUAUGGUGAAGAUGAAGCUCCUUUUUGAACUUCUCCGGUUAAUAUACAUGCACUUGGUUAUCUUUUUUACAUGUACUAACAUCAUCUCAUUCGGAGUUGUUCGUGUGCUUGUAACACAAAUCAGUUCAAAUCUCAAGAGAAGUAAGCUCAAAAAAAUACAGAAGUUCGAAGCCGAGAUGUUUGCAUAUGUUUUGUUGAAUUGAGUUCCUUCCUAAAAAAAAGCACUAAAUAUGUUUGCACAUCUUUUCAUUACAAACUUUUAAAAAAGUUUCUUUCUGAACUUCUCAAAAUUAAUAUACAUGAACUUGAUUAUCUUUUUAACAUGUAUUGAUAUCAGCUUCGUUGGAUUUUUGUGCGUGUGCUUGUAACACAAUCAGUUCAAAUCUCGAGAGACCAUAAGUUCAAGUUCACUAGUAUUUAUAAAUGUUGGUUGCAGCACUAGUAUUUACAAAUUUCUUAUAAUCUCCACAGGUCGGAGGCCGUACAUAUUUCUUAUUCCUAUUGCUAUAAGAUCAAGUGAUCAAAUGCUAUAAGCUCGCAUGUUAUUGUCCAAUUAGUUCAACUGAUAAUUGUUUUAUUUUAUUGUGUAUAUGUCUAAGAGUAGACUUUGUGACCUAAACUUUCUACUUACUGCUUAGAGAAGGUCCCUUUUGUGGCAUGAACUCUCUUCUUAUUGCUUAGAGAAGGUCCCUUGGAAAAGAUGACUACCUUUCCAAGUUGGAUUAUCCUCAAACAAUUUAUAUUUUGAUGUGGAAUAGGAAAAUAGGUUUGCUUUGGAGUGUGUUUUACAAUUAUAACCUUUCAGACUUCAUAUUCUUUGAGUAUGCAAAAAAAACAGAGGAGAAAAGCUGGCUACAUGCGUAUAGUUUUUAUAAUUUCCAUGGGAAACUAAUAUUCAUGCACCUCUUUGGUGGAUGUUUUGAUAUAUUUCCUUCACGAAUUGUAGUUGUCGAAUGGUGUUACACAAUUACUAUUCUAGCAUCAUUGUUUAUAUUGUAUUCUUUUAGCAUUCUUGCAACCCUAUUAACAACAUCUUUUUGUGUACUGUUUGUCGGGUUUUUUAUUUAUGGACAUCUUGGGCUUGCUGGGUGCAGAAUCAAAGAAGGCCAGUGAGAGGUACUAGUAGAAGAGGAAGAAGUAAUGUGAAAAAUGAGAUAAAUGUGAGAAGACCAAGUACAAAAGCGUGAGAGGGAUUCAGAUUUUUUUUCAGAUUCUUGCUGUACACAUACCUUUGGUAUGUAGAUGCACUGUAAUGUAUCUAGAAAGUAUGAAUGGUUAAUACCUCAAUGGUGCACUAUGCAUCUUUGGCAGUUUUUAUGCAUUUUAGUCGUUGUGCAGCAAUUUAAUGGUGCGCUAUGUACUGAAGUAUGUGUUCUCAAAUCCGGGAAGUUCAUAUGUACUUUUACAUUGGCUCAUCAAGGUUGUGUGCGUACCAUAUAGAAAUCUGGAGCAAUUUGG
Molecule: non-coding RNA, 3742 nt
Organism: Triticum urartu
Lineage: Eukaryota; Viridiplantae; Streptophyta; Magnoliopsida; Poales; Poaceae
Source: RefSeq, a predicted model, not a curated record